UCUUGCUGUACAAAUUCGAAAUUUGCCUUGAGGAAAUUUCGUUAAGAACGAUUCCGCAAAAUUAUCGUCAUUCCGUUAGCCCGUAGCUUAUAUCAGCAAAAUUUGCGUGUAGUCGACCCAAGUGGAUUAGGGUGAAAAUUUGAUGUAUUAGAUCUUGUGCCUGCAGCAUCAGCAUUACAGGGUUUCUACGGAACUAAUUGAACUGAUUUCUCAUCGAUCGAAUUUGCUGCUCGAUCUGCCUCCUCGAGGUACGCCACUCGAUCGGAUCCUGGUAAACUAAUUGGCUGCAAUUUACACCACCCUUGGGCGACACCAGACAUCUUGGAAUCGAUGGGGAUUCUUCACUUGAACCUGAUUCGCGGACCUGCGAUUGCUGAGGAGGAUGGAGAAGUUUUAAAAUUAUAUAAAUCGCCGAUCGAAGAACUGCGUGAAAAGUUCGUUCGUUGACUUCAGCCAAGACUGACCGAGUGCCGGAAGAAAUAAAGAUACUACAGUAGAUAUCGCGAACAAAAAGAUCCAUCAUAAUGUUUUUGGUAUUUCGAAACGAGGCAGCUGCGGUUGGUCUGACUCUCGAUGCGCCGUUAAACGUGACCUGACCCGAGUCGAGUAAAGUCAAG
This 617-nucleotide unclassified non-coding RNA is filed under the name Athalia rosae (coleseed sawfly). RNAcentral's name for it is "misc RNA ENSAEAG00005008835.1". The record is from RNAcentral. Lineage: Eukaryota; Metazoa; Arthropoda; Insecta; Hymenoptera; Athaliidae.